Molecule: ribosomal RNA, 253 nt
Filed under: uncultured bacterium
Lineage: Bacteria
Description: partial 16S ribosomal RNA
Rfam family: Bacterial small subunit ribosomal RNA
Source: RNAcentral
UACGGAGGGGGCUAGCGUUGUUCGGAAUUACUGGGCGUAAAGGGUGCGUAGGCGGUCCGCUAAGUUGGAUGUGAAAACUCUGGGCUUAACCCAGAGCCUGCAUUCAAAACUGACGGGCUAGAGUUCUGGAGGGGGUAGCGGAAUUCCUGGUGUAGCGGUGAAAUGCGUAGAUAUCAGGAGGAACACCGGUGGCGAAGGCGGCUACCUGGACAGAAACUGACGCUGAGGCACGAAAGCUAGGGGAGCAAACAGG